UGCGUAGGCGGGUCUUUAAGUCAGAGGUGAAAUACCUGGAGCUCAACUCCAGAACUGCCUUUGAUACUGAGGAUCUUGAGCUCGGGAGAGGUGAGUGGAACUGCGAGUGUAGAGGUGAGAUUCGUAGAUAUUCGCAAGAACACCAGUGGCGAAGGCGGCUCACUGGCCCGAUACUGACGCUGAGGCACGGAAAAGCGUAGGGGAGCAAACA
RNAcentral lists this ribosomal RNA (211 nucleotides) under uncultured bacterium. Its description in RNAcentral is "partial 16S ribosomal RNA". It matches the Rfam family "Bacterial small subunit ribosomal RNA", at positions 568 to 774 of the family's 1533-position model. The record is from RNAcentral.